This 532-nucleotide ribosomal RNA is filed under the name uncultured archaeon. RNAcentral describes it as "bacterial SSU rRNA". It matches the Rfam family "Archaeal small subunit ribosomal RNA", at positions 347 to 879 of the family's 1478-position model. The record is from RNAcentral.
ACUUUACAAUGCUGGCAACAGCGAUAAGGGGACCUUGAGUGCCAGGAUACAAUCCUGGCUGUCGUGAUGCCUAAAAAGCAUUAUAUAGCAAGGGCCGGGCAAGACCGGUGCCAGCCGCCGCGGUAACACCGGCGGCUCGAGUGGUAACCGCUAUUAUUGGGUCUAAAGGGUCUGUAGCCGGCUUGGUUAGUCUCUUGGGAAAUCCGGCAGCUUAACUGUCGGGCUUUCAGGAGAUACUGCCAGGCUCGAGACCGGGAGAGGUGAGAGGUACUUCAUGGGUAGGGGUGAAAUCUUGUAAUCCUUGAAGGACCACCAGUGGCGAAGGCGUCUCACCAGAACGGAUCUGACGGCAAGGGACGAAGGCUAGGGGCACGAACCGGAUUAGAUACCCGGGUAGUCCUAGCCGUAAACGAUACUCGCUAGGUGUCGGCCACGGUGCGACCGUGGUCGGUGCCGUAGGGAAGCCGUGAAGCGAGCCACCUGGGAAGUACGGCCGCAAGGCUGAAACUUAAAGGAAUUGGCGGGGGAGCAC